This is a long non-coding RNA of Cervus elaphus (red deer), 719 nucleotides long. RefSeq lists it as uncharacterized. Lineage: Eukaryota; Metazoa; Chordata; Mammalia; Artiodactyla; Cervidae. The transcript is spliced from 3 exons. The record is from RefSeq and is a predicted model, not a curated record.
ACCGGUGCUGGCCCAGGGGAGAGGCAACCGCAGACAAGGCUCUUUGGGAUGUGGACUGAGGCUGUGGCCAGAACUAGAGCAAGAGUCUAGAGCAAGACAGACGGACAGGCAUCUCAUCUGUCUUGCCCGGCUGAGCACCCAGAACAGACAAUGACCCAGAGCAGGACCAGUGGAUGUUUGUUAAGUGAAGGAAGGAGAAGAGUCAUCAAGCAAAGAAGGAAGAGUAAGAGGAAAAGGUAUUUACCCAAGAGAAUGAAAGCCACCAAGUGACCACAAAGAAUGUGCACAAAAAUGGUCGUCACAGCUAAAAACUGAAAACAACUCUAACAUCCAACUACUGAAGAGAGGAGAAUUAUUGAUGGCACCUUCCUUCAAUGAAAUACUACACAGCAAUGAAAAAGAAGAAAUUCCCAAUACAGGCAACUGGAUGCAUGGAUCUCACAAACAAUGCUGAAAGAAAGGGAGAGAGAAUGAGUAUAUACUAUGUGGUCCCAUUUAAAUAAAGCUCAAGGGUAGGUGAAAUUAACUUUGGGGAUUAAAGUCUGAAUACUGGUUACCUCUGGGGAGAUUAUUGAUUGGAAAGGGGCACAGGUGAACCUGCUGGGCUAUUGGAAUUGUUCUGUAUCUCAAUCAAUAAGACAUUUACAUGGUACAUACAUAUGCAGAAAACCACCCAGCUGCACAUAGCUGGAUGGUGUCACUGAGGCAGUGGACGUGAA